Molecule: ribosomal RNA, 254 nt
Filed under: uncultured bacterium
Lineage: Bacteria
Description: partial 16S ribosomal RNA
Rfam family: Bacterial small subunit ribosomal RNA
Source: RNAcentral
CACGUAGGGUGCGAGCGUUGUCCGGAAUUAUUGGGCGUAAAGAGCUCGUAGGCGGUGUGUCGCGUCGGCCGUGAAAACCUGCAGCUUAACUGUGGGCUUGCGGUCGAUACGGGCAUCACUGGAGUUCGGCAGGGGAGACUGGAAUUCCUGGUGUAGCGGUGAAAUGCGUAGAUAUCUGGAGGAACACCGGUGGCGAAGGCGGCAUCCUGGACCGACACUGACGCUGAGGAGCGAAAGCCAGGGGAGCAAACGGG